Molecule: long non-coding RNA, 1789 nt
Organism: Microtus ochrogaster (prairie vole)
Lineage: Eukaryota; Metazoa; Chordata; Mammalia; Rodentia; Cricetidae
Exons: 6
Source: RefSeq, a predicted model, not a curated record
CUGGCUUUCCUACUGCAGUCACAGAGUCUUAAGGACCGGAAGGCGCAGCGGGGAACACAGGGGCCUGGCUGCCCAGGACGAGGUGCCGCACUAGGCGCCCCCGAGAUCUGGGUGGGGCAGCGGUAUCCAGGGAGCGCUGGCUGGGGUAGGAAGGCUCACAGCCUCUGGGAGUUCGCGGCCCAGUGUGCUCCAGCCCCAGAGCCAGCGCGGCGAACUCAGUGAGAUGCGGUGUAUUGAGAAGAUCCUAAAGGCCACGAGGUGCUUGGCACAUUCCAAGACGCGGCUCAGCGCCAUCCUACUGUCACAUUCCACUUGCUUUUCUCGCCAUCAAUGGUCCGGAGCCACAAGCAGGUGUGGGAUACAGUACCUCUGCUCCAAGUGGCUUGGACCCCCUCGCGGCCAAUUCGGACGAACGAACCGCGGCUAGAGAGGGCCAGGACCCAGGGCAUCUGCAAGCCAGAAAAAGGCGCGCUGCACACCGCCCCCACGACCCGGCAGGAAGCCAGCUUGAUUUUCCAGAAGCAUCAAGAGACUGAAAAUCCGCACUGCACCAUGGAAUAAGGCCCACAUUUCCUCAGUCACUUAGCAUAAAAAUGAAGAAGUUCUGGCUGGACAGACGACUCAGUGGGUAAAGGUGUUUGCUGUGGAACGUGGUGGAAGGAGAGAACCAUCCCCUACAAGCUGUUCUCUGCAGUGUGGCAGGUACACACUCAUUUCCCCAACAAGUGCGGACCACAGGUCUGUUAUAAUCGUUUGGAAACAGGUCCUUCCUGAGAUUGCUUUGGAAUUGGAAGUGGAACAUUGAGGGAAAUAGGCUCCAGUUGACUGUAUGCAUGGCCACAGUCCAGCAAGCUCGCCUUCCUUUUGGGGAGUCUACAAAGUGGCUGUCCUGGUAUUAUAUUGCAGAGUGGUACCCAGCUGACCUUACUUCUCAUCCCUGACUGGAAGGUGUCAGUCCAGGCGGUCCAGAUCCACCUUCACUGCUCUCCACCUAGUGCUCUCCUCAGGCCAUCUGACUAGCUCCUGUCUCUCAGUAAGACCUCCGCUGUCUCUUCUUCAUACCUAGCAGGUUAGCUCUUUUCAUCCAAGCAACUAGGUAACAUAGUCGAGACCUGGACCAACUACAUCAACUGCUCUUUGCACAAGAGCACGUGGAAGCUGGAAACAGGAUUCCACUUGCAGCCAUUCUCUCUUCCCCUAGGCUCUGGCCAAUGGGACUGCGGCCUGCAGCAGUCCUUCACCAGCUUGGCAUCUAGUGUGGAAAAACUGGCUUUAUUAAAAUUAUAUAGACCUGUCGUCAUUUUACACACAUAUGUCUGUGGUUUCACUUUCUGUGUUUUGUUAGCUACAGUAAGUUGUAGACCAGAAAUAUCAAAUGGAAGAUUCCAGAAAUAAAAACACAUGCCAUCCUAUACUGUACUGUCUUCCUUAGGGUUCAGCCCUCCGUCCAGUGUAUCCAAGCUGUAUACACUACACUCCAGCAGCCACUUAGCUAUUUCAGUUUAUGGAUGAGGAGACCGGACUGCUAUGAAAUAAAUGAAAACUUGCAAACGGAUAAGCACUGGAUCCUUGGUUAACACACGCUCUCACCACACACAUUUCCCAGGGAAGAUCUUUGCUUUAAUCGUACUUUCCAACCAGCACCAGGUGAGUGGUGUGGAGCUCCGAGGAAGGCCAGGGGCUCCUUGGCCUCCACUGGAUCCUGCAAGUCCCUCCUCACUGUACAAUAACAGCUGUUAUUGGAGAAAUAACUCAAUAGUCACAGCUGUCAGUGAAUAAAACAACUCUC